This 376-nucleotide RNase P RNA is filed under the name human gut metagenome. RNAcentral describes it as "Bacterial RNase P class A". It matches the Rfam family "Bacterial RNase P class A". From Rfam's summary of the family: Ribonuclease P (RNase P) is a ubiquitous endoribonuclease, found in archaea, bacteria and eukarya as well as chloroplasts and mitochondria. Its best characterised activity is the generation of mature 5'-ends of tRNAs by cleaving the 5'-leader elements of precursor-tRNAs. The record is from RNAcentral.
CUGGACGUCUCGUCGCUGAUGCACCUCCGGGUGUGUUUGAGGAAAGUCCGGGCAACGUAGAGCACCAUAUUUCUUAACGGGAAGCUAUCGGUGACGGUAGGGGCAACGUGACAGAAAAAAACCGCCGCUACCAAGCGGUAAGGGUGAAAAGGCGGGGUAAGAGCCCACCGGGUGGUAUAGUGAUAUACCAUGCCGCACGCCCUAUGGGUUGCAAGGUCAAGUAUAUCGCCAUUUAAGGGUUGCUCGCCCAUUGGCGAGGGGUGGACUGCUAUAGAAGCGUGGCAACACGUUUCACAGAUAAAUGACGAGACGUAAGUGGUGGCUCGCAACAGCGAAAGUGCCCUUACGACAUAACCCGGCUUAUAGUCCGGCUGCU